UGGCGGACGGGUGAGUAAUGUCGGGGAAACUGCCCGAUGGGAGGGGAUAACUACUGGAAACGGUAGCUAAUACCGCAUAACGUCGCAAGACCAAAGAGGGGGACCUUAGGGCCUCUUGCCAUCGGAUGUGCCCAGAUGGGAUUAGCUAGUAGGUGGGGUAAUGGCUCACCUAGGCGACGAUCCCUAGCUGGUCUGAGAGGAUGACCAGCCACACUGGAACUGAGACACGGUCCAG
This 235-nucleotide ribosomal RNA is filed under the name uncultured bacterium. Its description in RNAcentral is "partial 16S ribosomal RNA". It matches the Rfam family "Bacterial small subunit ribosomal RNA", at positions 96 to 334 of the family's 1533-position model. The record is from RNAcentral.